UCAGAUUUACGUGACAAAAUAAUCACAAAAUUUAACAAUUUGGACAUUCCAUUUUCAAGUGUCUUAAAAAAUACCACAAAUCAAAUAUACUCUUAAAUCUUAUCUAUUUUGAUGCUUUAAAAUUGUGGUGAAAACUGCCAUCUAAAGGUUAUAGCUGAACCACGAACAUUACACAGUAAUUAAUAAGAGAAAAUUUAAAAUAUUUUUAAAAGUUUGGGCUAUUUAAUAUAUCAAAUUAAUUAAGUACUAAUGCAGUACAAGUCCCAUUUGAUUUAGUUUCGAUGUGAGUCACGUCAAAUUUUAAUUUUUACUGCUAUGGUUGUGUGUGUGUGUGUGUGUGUGUGUGUUUUUUUUUUUUGUUGGUAAGGUAGUCUGACUAAUUUAAAAUAAUUUGUUUGUUAGGAUAAAGUUCAUUAUUCCUUAUCUAAUUUGUACGUUAUAGUAAAAUUUCUAUAAUUAAGAGAUUUACUUAAAUGUAGGACAGUAAAUAAUCUUUAUAAAUAGCUCUUAAUUUGUAAUUUUAUAAUUAGUUUAUUAAUUGGAUGAAUUAAUUUUGAUGGUUUAGAAUUUUAUCGAUGUUUGCUCCUUUCUGAGUCUAAAUUAAUCGUCUCUUUUCCUUCGAUUUGACCCAAAAUUCACCAACAAUUUCUCUCUUCUUUUCUUGUAAUUCUUCUUUCGCUUCUUCUCCCCUUUUUUAACUUAUCAUGUUGCUACAAUAACAUGCGUUGCGGUAUUCACUGUGUUACAACCUAAUCCUCCCAGCCUGAGUUGAGCUGAGUGGAGAUGAUGGAUCUUUAGCUCACUAUUGAUCGAUGAGCUCCAUUGAUGGGAAUUUGAGUAAAGUAAUUGGAGGAAAGUGAGAUAGAUCUGAGGGAGAAGCCGAAGAGGAAGAAGAAGAAGAAGAGGAAGAGGAGAGAGAAUAGAAAUUUGUAGAAGCAAUCGGUAAUUUCAUUCAU
RNAcentral lists this long non-coding RNA (956 nucleotides) under Ananas comosus (pineapple). RNAcentral describes it as "long non-coding RNA (ACOM_LNC025759)". The record is from RNAcentral. Lineage: Eukaryota; Viridiplantae; Streptophyta; Magnoliopsida; Poales; Bromeliaceae.